CAGCCGCCGCGGGAAAACGAAGGGGGCUAGCGUUGCUCGGAAUUACUGGGCGUAAAGGGAGCGUAGGCGGAUGAAUUAGUCAGGGGUGAAAUCCCGGGGCUCAACCUCGGAACUGCCUUUGAUACUGUUCAUCUUGAGUAUGGGAGAGGUGUGUGGAACUCCGAGUGUAGAGGUGAAAUUCGUAGAUAUUCGGAAGAACACCAGUGGCGAAGGCGACACACUGGCCCAUUACUGACGCUGAGGCUCGAAAGCGUGGGGAGCAAGCAGGAUUAGAUACCCGUGUAGUCCCUGUCUCUUAUAC
Molecule: ribosomal RNA, 301 nt
Filed under: uncultured bacterium
Lineage: Bacteria
Description: partial 16S ribosomal RNA
Rfam family: Bacterial small subunit ribosomal RNA
Source: RNAcentral